GGAUAUCUAUCCACAGUGAAUCUGGUGGCCAGAGUAGCUGGGUACAUUGAAUCCUCUACUUCAAAAGUCGAUGAGGUGUUGUUACUGUGAAUGUAAAACACAUGGGAGACGGAAGGGAGAAAAAGAAGAGAUGAAGAAGCCUUUGAAAUUGAUCCAGUGCCUCAUAUCAUGCAAGACCACAGUCAGGCUGAAAGUACAAAUUUCCCAAGUUCCCCUGCAACUCCUGUACUCCUGUCAUCACUAAACACAGUACCCCUCAGGCUGGGGAGGAUGUGUGAAAGGUGAAUGCAGAGAACCUCUCCCCAGGGUCCAGACAGCAUUUUUAGAGCCAGGCAUUGCUUUAUGUUGCCAAGGGGGAAGUUCGGUGGUUCGGUGAGCAUGAUGAUGACAGUUUGAUCAAGAUGAUCAUAGUGAUCUUUUCCAACCUUAAUGGUUCUAUGACUCUACUGUAUGUUUUGUGUGCUGAAGACAAUAGCCAAAUAAUUAACUGAACCAGGAACCCAGCUUAUUGUAGUUAUUAUGCCUAGCAAGUACAGUGGAAACUUUGGUGGAAAGCUAGGUCUCAUUUCAGGCCACCUAAGCUCUUCUAUGAGAAAUGUAUGCCAGCACUGGUUUCAGCCUGUUCACUAGGAUGAGUGCGUAUACUUGUUCCUCCUUCCUGCUCCUACAGUAAAAAAACAGACUGGCAUGUGUUGUACUUGCUGGUUUGAACGGAAGAAGAUAGACAUGAAUAUGAAAUUUUUCAUAUCUGCAAUUUUUCUUUUGCCUCCCACCAUCUUUUUGAUUAGUGUAGACAGCUGUCUCCAGCACAUACCAUUACUGAUCAUGAAGAGAGAAAAAGUAAACAUCUUGUCAACAGAGGUAAUGGACAAAGGAUUCUUUUCAAUACACCCCAUGCUAAUGGGGUCUUUGGCUCAGCAAUCUUCAGCCUGGAAAGUGCAUGACAGAAAUGUAUAUAGCUGUUCAGUAAUUUAGAGAAAACAAAUGUGGAAAAACUGUCCACAGAGAAUUACAAAAAUGGAGCAUUUGAAGGUGGAAAACACAGAACAAAGGAAAUAGUCGGGAUCUUCACAAAGCCUUAUCAGGCUGUGGAGGUCUUUGCUGCAUAUGGCUGAUGUAGAUGUUUGCAGGAGUCCACAAAGCAGUAGGGCAAACCCAUGGAAGAAAACUGAUGCAGGUCUCUGAAUUUUGAGGGUAAGAUUCAUGGCUCAAAACCUGGCAGUAUAGUCCAGUGAGGAGAAGAUACUGAAUUAUAUGGACUCAUGCAUGACCUUGAUGUGACCAUUCCUUACUUCAUGUUCUUUUAGCAUGCUAUAUGAUUGAAUCAAAGAUCACUCCUUACAUAGGUUUGUUGGACCUGGCACAAGGAUAUCAUAUGGUAAUAACAAAUCUAAAACAACAUUUAUUUUCUCCACAUUUAUUCAGUGCAGAUAAUGAUUCUUUCCAGGCCCACACCUGAAAGCACAGUCUAGUCUGUUUUGUUCUGGCUUGUAGAUUUUAAUUCUGAGUGUUAGUUUCACUUUGGAUGUCUCAUUAGCAGGGUGACAUUUUCCUAUUAGAUGAAAAUGUUCAACACAGAUUUCCUUGUCGCCACGUUACUGUCAUCUUGUCUUUUGUCAUCAUGGCUGAUGGUUCAACGUGCUCUGAUCUACUAUCCUUUUUUUUUUUUUUUUUUUUGUGUGUGUGAUGCAGUUAUUAUUGUGUGCUCUAUCUCUCUCUCCCUUUCUCUUCUUCGGCAGUGAUAAAAAGAAUAAAUAAAAAUGAAAUAUACAAAGUAUAAACUGCCUUUAUGACUGAAUGACUUUCUUGCUGCAUUAAGCAAUUUCUUUUGUGCCAGCACCUCUCGUGAAAGCUCAGGAUGUUCUCCUGAUGUAUUCAUGAGAGCUACUUUGCUGCAAUCAUUGCAUGCAUGGCUGAUUUUUUUUGAAACAAGCUCAUGAUUAUUGAUAUCUGGGAUUCUUCUUUUCAGCUUAGUAGCCAGGAGGGGGUGUCCGUAUCUUACAAAUCAGCUCUCCUUCAAGACUGGUGGCAAAAUAACUUCUAACAGGCACAGCACUGUGAAAUAUCUUGUCUCUAUAAGCUAUGCAGAGAGGGGAAAGUGGUGAGGAACAGUACAAACACAACAGCAUAAAUGGGAGCUGAUGCAGAGCUGCAGGAAGCCUCGUUCCUGGAGACAUUCAAGGCUGUGCUGGACGGUGGUCUGAGCACCCUGGUUUAGCUGUUGAUGUCUCUGUUCUUUGCAGAUGAAUUGAACUAGAUGACUUUCAAAGGUCCCUUCCAACUCAAACAAUUCUGUAAUUCUAUGAUUCUACAGAGGGCGGAGGGAGGCUGUGGGGAGCAGCAGAGGAGAGUCAAGAGGAGAAAGGGAAGAGGAAGGGGAUUCCCACGAUGUAAUAGAGCAUGUCAGAUAGAUCUUCUUUGUGCUAUUUUUGAUCUUCUUCAUUGCUUUACAUUUGGCACCAAG
Molecule: long non-coding RNA, 2464 nt
Filed under: Gallus gallus (chicken)
Lineage: Eukaryota; Metazoa; Chordata; Aves; Galliformes; Phasianidae
Description: lncRNA (ENSGALG00010010250.1)
Source: RNAcentral